CCUGGAGACUCCUACGGGAGGCAGCAGUGGGGAAUAUUGCGCAAUGGGGGGAACCCUGACGCAGCCAUGCCGCGUGAAUGAAGAAGGCCUUCGGGUUGUAAAGUUCUUUCGGUAUUGAGGAAGGAGUGUAUGUUAAUAGCAUACAUUAUUGACGUUAAAUACAGAAGAAGCACCGGCUAACUCCGUGCCAGCAGCCGCGGUAAUACGGAGGGUGCGAGCGUUAAUCGGAAUAACUGGGCGUAAAGGGCACGCAGGCGGUUAUUUAAGUGAGGUGUGAAAGCCCCGGGCUUAACCUGGGAAUUGCAUUUCAGACUGGGUAACUAGAGUACUUUAGGGAGGGGUAGAAUUCCACGUGUAGCGGUGAAAUGCGUAGAGAUGUGGAGGAAUACCGAAGGCGAAGGCAGCCCCUUGGGAAUGUACUGACGCUCAUGUGCGAAAGCGUGGGGAGCAAACAGGAUUAGAUACCCUUGUAGUCCUAG
Molecule: ribosomal RNA, 479 nt
Filed under: uncultured bacterium
Lineage: Bacteria
Description: bacterial SSU rRNA
Rfam family: Bacterial small subunit ribosomal RNA
Source: RNAcentral